Molecule: small RNA, 92 nt
Filed under: Salix viminalis (osier)
Lineage: Eukaryota; Viridiplantae; Streptophyta; Magnoliopsida; Malpighiales; Salicaceae
Source: RNAcentral
UUCAAAUGAUGACUGUCCUUUGCAUUUGCAUUUGCAGUAUCAGUCCAAACAUUCGAGAAGGGUUGCUGGAAACAUUCUAUGGAGUUUAUGAA